This 318-nucleotide ribosomal RNA is filed under the name Triticum aestivum (bread wheat). Its description in RNAcentral is "partial small subunit ribosomal RNA". The record is from RNAcentral. Lineage: Eukaryota; Viridiplantae; Streptophyta; Magnoliopsida; Poales; Poaceae.
AUGAGUAUGCUUUCACUGGCUGGACUUGUGGCAUUUGUGCUUGCAUUUUCUCUGGGCAUGGGAGCCAUCCCAUGGAUUAUAAUGUCUGAGAUUCUUCCUGUUAACAUCAAGAGUCUUGCCGGAAGCACCGCCACCCUUGCAAACUGGAUGACGUCGUGGCUCAUCACGAUGACCGCGAGCUUGAUGCUAAACUGGAGCAACGGAGGAACCUUUGCUAUAUACGCGGCAGUGUCCAUGGGCACCCUCCUCUUCGUGUGCCUGUGCGUGCCGGAGACCAAGGGGAGAACGCUCGAGGAGAUUGCGUUCUCGUUCCGCUGA